This 204-nucleotide ribosomal RNA is filed under the name uncultured bacterium. Its description in RNAcentral is "partial 16S ribosomal RNA". It matches the Rfam family "Bacterial small subunit ribosomal RNA", at positions 524 to 725 of the family's 1533-position model. The record is from RNAcentral.
UACAGAGGAGCCAAGCGUUGUCCGGAUUGACUGGGCGUAAAGCGCACGCAGGCGGACGCGCGCGUGGGGUGUGAAAUACUGGCCGCUUAACGGCCAGGCGCCAUCCCAUACGGCGCGUCUGGAGCAAUGCAGAGGGUCGGUGGAAUUGCCGGUGUAGUGGUGAAAUGCGUAGAGAUCGGCAGGAACACCCAGGGGGAAACCAGC